GACGAACGCUGGCGGCGUGCUUAACACAUGCAAGUCGAACGGUGAAGGGAUCAGCUUGCUGGUUCUGGAUGAGUGGCGAACGGGUGAGUAACACGUGAGUAACCUGCCCCCUUCUUCUGGAUAACCGCAUGAAAGUGUGGCUAAUACGGGAUAUUCUGGGUCUGUCGCAUGAUGGGUCUGGGAAAGAUAUUGUUUCGGUGGGGGAUGGGCUCGCGGCCUAUCAGCUUGUUGGUGGGGUGAUGGCCUACCAAGGCGGUGACGGGUAGCCGGCCUGAGAGGGGGGACGGUCACACUGGGACUGAGACACGGCCCAGACUCCUACGGGAGGCAGCAGUGGGGAAUACUGCACAAUGGGCGCAAGCCUGAUGCAGCGACGCCGCGUGAGGGAUGGAGGCCUUCGGGGUGUAAACCUCUUUCGCCAGUGGAGCAGGCCUGCUCCUUGUGGGUGGGUUGACGGUAGCUGGAUAAGAAGCGCCGGCUAACUACGUG
Molecule: ribosomal RNA, 489 nt
Filed under: uncultured bacterium
Lineage: Bacteria
Description: partial 16S ribosomal RNA
Rfam family: Bacterial small subunit ribosomal RNA
Source: RNAcentral